CACUAAGGGCGAUUACACAUUAUCCGGUUUCAGCCGGACCGGUUACAAAAAGCGCCGCUGGGUUUGGACGGAUAACCGGAUAACAAUGUGAAAGAGACCUCGCGCUACACAAAACCGUACAUCUUUCACAUACACAUACAUGCAUUUGUUUAUACAGUGGUUUGACAGCCCACAAUUUCCAGCUCCCAACAUUGUAUGGGGAAAUCCUUUUCCGCACCACAAAUUGCUGUCGGCGAACAAAAGUUCGAACUGCUAUCCACGCAAUGCCGACAGUAAAUACAAAACGGAGAAACACCCGGCAUCACAUCAACAAACAAAAUACAGUUCUGGUAGAACUACUUAUAUUCAUAUGAAAACACUAGUUAUAUAAAACAUAUAUUCACAAUGUACAGUUUCACAAAAUUACAAUCUGUAUUUAUUUAGCAAAACA
Toxorhynchites rutilus septentrionalis is the source of this 430-nucleotide long non-coding RNA. RefSeq lists it as uncharacterized. Lineage: Eukaryota; Metazoa; Arthropoda; Insecta; Diptera; Culicidae. The transcript is spliced from 2 exons. The record is from RefSeq and is a predicted model, not a curated record.